UUAUAAAAUUCUGGAUAAAGCUUAUUAUGAAAACUUUAUAUCCAUAGGUCUCGACCAAAUCUUGUGCCAGCAGUCGCGGUAAGACAAGGGAGACGAGUGUUAUUCAUCUUUAACAGGUAUAUAGGGUACCUAGACGGUGUGCAAAGGCUUAAAUAAGUACCUGUUACACUUGAGUUUGAUAUGUGAGAGGAAGAUGUCGGAAUUGUUGGUGUAAAGAUGAAAUUUGCUAAUACCAAUAGGACUGAUAACGGCGAAGGCAAGCCUCUAUGUACAUGUACUUGCUAACUCUAAAUUUAUUUUGAGCAUAAAUUUCUCUUAUAAGAUGUAAAAUAUUUAUGCAAAAAAAAAGAGAAAUAAGCAAAGUGCUAUAACUGACGUUGAGGGACGAAGGCUCAGAUAGUGAAGAGGAUUAGAUACCCCCGUAGCCUGGGCAGACAAUGAUGAGUGCCAUAGGUUGGCUUUAAGGCAAAACUAUAAAUGAAAGUGUAAGCACUCCACCUCAAGAGUAAUGUGGCAACGCAGGAACUGAAAUCAUUAGACCGUUUCUGAAACCAGUAGUGAAGUAUGUUAUUUAAUUCGAUGAUCCUCGAA
RNAcentral lists this ribosomal RNA (591 nucleotides) under Coniothyrium palmarum. RNAcentral's name for it is "mitochondrial SSU rRNA". It matches the Rfam family "Bacterial small subunit ribosomal RNA", at positions 438 to 965 of the family's 1533-position model. The record is from RNAcentral. Lineage: Eukaryota; Fungi; Ascomycota; Dothideomycetes; Pleosporales; Coniothyriaceae.